ACAGUUGCGCAUAGAAGAUACUUUAAUUUACCAAAAAAAUAAUAAUUAUGGUACAUCUCAUUAAGCUAAAAUAAUGUCACAAUAGUAAGAACAAGAGUGCAACAUCAUUUAACAUUUAUGAACUACCUAAAUGAGUAAAGCCUAUUACAAUGUGAAGAAAAAUAUACAAUAAUCAUGUCAAUAACAAUGAGAGGAAGAGUCCAGUAUACAGCAUAGUGUUUGUCCAUCAUGCUACUCAAAAUUCAGCUAGCAUCCUAUGUUACUAUUUCAAAAAAAAAAAAAAAAAAAAAAA
RNAcentral lists this long non-coding RNA (292 nucleotides) under Trifolium pratense (red clover). RNAcentral describes it as "long non-coding RNA (TPRA_LNC009804)". Lineage: Eukaryota; Viridiplantae; Streptophyta; Magnoliopsida; Fabales; Fabaceae. The record is from RNAcentral.